CCCUUAGAUGUCCUGGGCUGCACGCGCGCUACACUGAUGUGUCCAGUAAGCACCUAACCUCUUCCGAAAGGAACGGGUAACCUUUGCAAAGCACAUCGUGAUGGGGAUAGAUUAUUGCAAUUAUUAGUCUUAAACGAGGAAUUCCUAGUAAGCACAAGUCAUCAGCUUGUGUUGAUUACGUCCCUGCCCUUUGUACACACCGCCCGUCGCUCCUACCGAUUGAAUGUUCCGGUGAGCUCUUCGGACUGCGCGGUCUGCAGUUUCUGCGUUCCGUGCGGAAAGUUGCGCAAACCUUAACAUUUAGAGGAAGGAGAAGUCGUAACA
This 324-nucleotide ribosomal RNA is filed under the name uncultured eukaryote. RNAcentral's name for it is "partial 18S ribosomal RNA". It matches the Rfam family "Eukaryotic small subunit ribosomal RNA", at positions 1470 to 1796 of the family's 1831-position model. The record is from RNAcentral.